Long non-coding RNA from Prosopis cineraria, 3111 nucleotides. RefSeq lists it as uncharacterized. NCBI's taxonomy places the organism in Eukaryota, Viridiplantae, Streptophyta, Magnoliopsida, Fabales, Fabaceae. The transcript has 2 exons. The record is from RefSeq and is a predicted model, not a curated record.
UUUAAUCAGUGUCUCCAGAGGUUUAUAAAUAAGAAAAACACCUUGAGCUGGUUGGGUCAUCUCUCUAGCCACUAUUGCUUGAGUUAGAUGAUGCAAGAAUAGCAAUGAGUUCGAUUAAUCUAAAUUUUCUCUUGAAAGCAAUAAUAAUAGUAAUGCUGCAUUUGAAAAUUGGAAAUGCAAAUAAUGCGAGCUGCAUCGAGGAGGAGAGAUAAACUCUUCUCAACAUCAAGCAUGCCUUCAUCGACCACUAUGGCCGUUUGUUUUCAUAGGGCUCUUCUUUAGAUUGUUGCCAUUGGAGUGGUGUCCUUUGUCAUCGUCAAUCUAGCCACAUUCAAAUGCUUGAUCUUCACGGUUAUGACUAUGAGGAAGGUUUCCAACCUUUAAGAGGUUCUAAAUCUUUCCAGCAACAAUUUAGUUGGUAGCAUUCCUUUUCAACUUGGGAACCUUUCAAGUUUGCAAGAGCUCAAUCUGCAAGGGAACGAUUUAGUUGGCAAUAUUCCUUACCAACUUGGUAAUCUUUGAAGCUUGGAGAUACUUUGGAUUAGCUAUAAUGAUGAUUUGAAAAUUGAUGACAAGAGUCUAGCUAGUAUUGAAUAGCUUUCCAAUGUUCAGUCUUUAACUUCACUUGAUUUAAGUUGGGUGUCUAAUCUGAAUUACUCUAACAACUUGUUGCCCAUUAUUGGGAAGCUUCCAAACCUGAAAGAGCUAUGGCUAUCCAACUGUAGCUUGAUAGAUAUUAAUAUUCCAUCAACUCCUCCAUCCCAUUUGAAUGUUUCUACAUCUCUUGUAACUCUUGAUCUCAAUGACAACAAGUUCACAUCAUCAAUAUGCCCUUAGCUGUUUAAUCUAAGCUCCAAUCUUGCAAAACUUGAUCUUUCUGACAAUCAUUUAGGUGGUCCCCUUCCAGAUGAUUUUGGAAAAAACAAAAAGUUCUUUAGUAGAUCUCUACCUUUGGGAUAAUAAGCUAAAUGGAACAAUCAGUGAAGUCUAUUUUGAUAAUCUCACCAAGUUACAAUCAUUAGAACUGUCUUAUAACUUGUUGACCCUUAAAUUCAACAACAAUUUGAUUCCUCCUUUUCAAUUACAAAACAUAAGGUUAUUGCACUAUAAGUUGGUCCCAGAUUCCCUAUUUGGCUUCGCAGUGAAAAGAAUUUACGAGCUUUAUUUAUUUCUCAUGUUGAAAUUAAUGAUUAUGUACCAGAGUGGUUUUGGAGACUUGUAAAGGGAGCCAUAUCUCUCUUGAUAGAAUCUAGCAAUCUCAAAGGUACAAUUCCAGAUUUGUCACUUGAAUUUGUUGUUUCAAGAAUAUCGUCGGCUCACAAUCAAAUUGAAGGUUUAGUUCCACUAUACCUAUUAGAUGGAGGAUUUGUAGAUAUUUUAGGAAAUCAAAUUUCCAAUUUUUCUCCUACAUGUGGCGAGGGGACAAGUUCUUCAAUUGUUGAAAACUUGGUAGCAUUAAAUCUCUCCAGUAAUAAAUUAUCAGGGAAACUUCUUGAUUGUUGGAGUGAUUUCAGAUCAUUAAAGAUUGUUGAUUUAUCUAAUAACCAACUCUCUAGAAGGAUUCCUCAUUCUAUAAUUUCCUGGAGUCAAAUUUGACAAUUGAUUUUACGAAACAAACGCUUUAGUGGUGAGCUUCGCCCUUGGAAAAUGCAACUGAAUUGACAUUGUUAGAUUUGGGAGGAAAUGACUUAUCAAGGCCAAUACCAUAUUCACGGAUAAGGAAGAAUCUUAAAAGUUUGGAGAUUCUUAGAUUAUGAAUGAACAAACUGGAUGGAAACUUGCCAUUUCGUCUUUGUCAUUUAACAAAUGUCAUAGUAAUGGAUCUCUCUUUUAAUAAGUUUACAGGACCUAUACCAUGUUGCUUAGACAAGCCAGAGGCAAUGAUUGAAAAACAUGUCUUCAACUACUCCAUGACUAUUAUCAAAAUUUUCAAGAAUGGAGAACCUGCAAGAAAAUACUCAUAUGAUUUGUUAUUUCCUAUGAUGUGGAAAGGAAGAGAAAUGCAGUACAAGGAUGGCUAUGGACUUCUAAACGUCAUUGAUCUCUCCCACGAUCAACUAGUGGGGGAUAUGCCAGCAGGAAUUGAGAAAUUGAUGGAAUUGAAAGCCUUGAAUUUAUCAGCAAAUAAUUUGAGUGGAGAAAUCAUUUUAGAGAUUGGAUGAUUAAAAUUAUUAGAAAUUUUAGAUCUAUCAAGAAAUCAUUUUUCUAGGAAAAUUAUUUCAAGUCUUGCUAAAAUAUCUUUUCUAAACAUUAUGAAUUUAUCAAAUAACAACUUGUCAACAAAAAUUCCUAUCGAAACACAAUUGCAAAGUUUGGACACUUCUAGCUAUGAAGGAAAUCUUUACUUUUGUGAAAGACCACUAAACAAGCUUUGCUCUUCUAAAGAACAUCUACUGUGGAAUGGACCACAAGGUGAUCUUGUUGUUGAUGAAGUUUUCCCUUUCACAAAAGGAUUCUAUGAGAGCUUGGGUGUGGGAUUUGCUACUGGAUUUUGGAUAAUCUUUGGCUCAUUGCUAGUUAUUCGCUCCGGGAGGCAUGUCUACCUCAAUUUCUUAAACAAGAUGGCAGACUAUUUAUGUGACAACCAUACUCUUUGUGGCAAGAUGGCACAGGUGGCUUCGCAUCUAAUUAAGGCUAAUAUCUCCUCACCUUGCUACCGUGUUAUUGUCAUUUGCAAAUAUAUGAGUGACUAUUUUUUUCUUUCUCAAUUAUUUAUUGAUAAUAAAAUUUAAUUUAUCUUUUUUAUUUAUUGUUGACCUGAAUAUCGUUUGCUGGCUCUGGCUGCUAUGAUCAGUUGGAGCUUCUAAUCAAGUGAGGACUUGGACUUAUCUACAAAAGCUAAGGAAUUCUUGUUCAUGAAAAUUGAUCUGCCAGGACUACGUGUCAUAUAUAUCAGUGGAUGUAAUGUGUGAUAUGAGAGUUUAUAUAAAUUGUUGAAUAGUCAUCGUGGGGUUGAACUUGAAAUACAAUAGAAAUAAGAGACGCCAUUGGGGUGACGUCGUUUUAUUGGUUUCUUUAGCUUUGAAAUUAUUAAUUAUUCAUUGGUGUGAAUUGUAAUUUUAUUGAAAUAAUUAAAUGAAGUUGUGUUCUAUUUAUAUUUGAAGAUUGGAA